This 862-nucleotide ribosomal RNA is filed under the name uncultured bacterium. Its description in RNAcentral is "bacterial SSU rRNA". It matches the Rfam family "Bacterial small subunit ribosomal RNA", at positions 73 to 911 of the family's 1533-position model. The record is from RNAcentral.
AGCUCCUUCGGGAGUGAGUAGAGUGGCGGACGGGUGAGUAACACGUGGAUAAUCUACCUUCAGGUUUGGGAUAACUCCGGGAAACCGAAGCUAAUACCGGAUAAGACCACAGCAUCUGCGGAUGCAGGGGUAAAAGGUGGCUAGUUUACUAGCUAUCACCUGGAGAUGAGUUCACGCCCCAUCAGGUAGUUGGUAAGGUAACUGCUUACCAAGCCUUAGACGGGUAGCCGGCCUUAGCGGGUGGUCGGCCACACGGGGACUGAGACACGGCCCCGACUCCUACGGGAGGCAGCAGUGGGGAAUCUUGGGCAAUGGGCGCAAGCCUGACCCAGCGAUGCCGCGUAAGGGACGAAGGCCUUCGGGUCGUAAACCUUUGUCAGAAGGGAAGAUGGGUCUGUUAGUUAAUACCUGACAGACUUGACGGUACCUUCAGAGGAAGCCCCGGCUAACUCCGUGCCAGCAGCCGCGGUAAUACGGAGGGGGCAAGCGUUGCUCGGAAUUACUGGGCGUAAAGGGUCCGUAGGCGGUUUUGCAAGUUGGAUGUGAAAGCUCAAGGCUCAACCUUGGAAUUGCAUCCAAAACUGCAUUACUUGAGUCCAAGAGAGGUUGGCGGAAUUCCCGGUGUAGCGGUGAAAUGCGUAGAUAUCGGGAGGAACACCAGUGGCGAAAGGCGGCCAACUGGCUUGGUACUGACGCUGAGGUACGAAAAGCGUGGGGAGCGAACCGGGUUAGAUACCCGGGGUAGUCCACGCCCUUAACGCUGGAUGCUAGGUGUGGGGGUUUUAACCUCCUUGCCGAAGUUAACGCAUUAAGCAUCCCCGCCUGGGGGACUACGGUCGCAGGGCUGAAACUCAAAGGGAUU